GUCCCUGUAGCGUGAUGGACAGCGCGUUGGACUUCAUAUCCAAAGGUUAUUGGUUCGAAUCCCACCAGGGAUA
This is a non-coding RNA of Trichonephila inaurata madagascariensis, 73 nucleotides long. Lineage: Eukaryota; Metazoa; Arthropoda; Arachnida; Araneae; Nephilidae. The record is from the annotation of a GenBank genome assembly.